CACCCCUCUUUGAAUCUCGCGGGCGCCAUGAUGACACUCACUGCCAUUCUGCUGCAAUUUUCCGGAGGAGACUUUCACUGUCAGUGUAUUCAAGUUUCACACUGUGCCCUUCAUAUGGGACCAUACAGACAAAGUGUUUCUGUUUGCUGUGGAAACGAGAAAUUGGAAAGAUGAAUAUCAGAAUGUCAGAAGAAACUUGAAAAAAAUGCCCUAACAAACAAAAUAACAAGAAGAGAGGCAGAAAAGGCUGUGUCAAAGUGGCUAAUUGGUGCCGGGAAAUAGGAGGGAAUCGCACUGCAAGGGCACAUGUUGGAGAACAAAUGGGGGCCGUUGGGACAGCGACAACAUAGGAGUGAGGAGCUGCAGUAAUGUUGUCUUGUUUGUAAAAACCUUUAUUUUAGAUUUUUCUGAUAUGCAUAUAUAAAAACAAGUUUUUCCAAAUAAAGUUUUACAAGAGUGAAUUAAAGCGUUAGUCCAUCAAAAAAUGAAAAAUCUGUAAGUAAUUACUUUUCCUCAUGUCUUUCCACACAAGGCAAAACCUUGGAAUGACAUGAGGGUAACUAAUUAAUGAGAGAAAUUUAAAUUUUGGAUAAACAUAACCCUGUAAAUGUAAUUUUUUUUCCUUUCUUUAGUUGUGUUUUAUAAAGUUUUAAAUGUACAAGUCCUAAUAGUCAUGUUCAAAUUAUUAAUAAACUGCAUAAUGAAGUAAAUCAUGAA
Paramisgurnus dabryanus is the source of this 717-nucleotide non-coding RNA. Lineage: Eukaryota; Metazoa; Chordata; Actinopteri; Cypriniformes; Cobitidae. The record is from RefSeq and is a predicted model, not a curated record.